This 224-nucleotide long non-coding RNA is filed under the name Elaeis guineensis (African oil palm). RNAcentral describes it as "long non-coding RNA (EGUI_LNC039131)". The record is from RNAcentral. Lineage: Eukaryota; Viridiplantae; Streptophyta; Magnoliopsida; Arecales; Arecaceae.
CGGGGCAUAAGCAUGGAUCUUUCUGAGAUCUUUUACUAUGGAGGGUAUCAUGGCAUCACAGUAAGGGUUGAGAGCAAAAGGAAUAGAUAUCCAUGCUUAAGUAUAGUAUUAUAAAAUUAAAAUAUAUAUGAUGGACUUUUAUACUACUUAUUGAUUUUCAUGUUCUAGAAAAGUAUGCAUAAAGUGUAUUUUUAAUAUCAUUAAUUGCAUAAAUUUGAUACAUG